This 619-nucleotide ribosomal RNA is filed under the name uncultured bacterium. Its description in RNAcentral is "bacterial SSU rRNA". It matches the Rfam family "Bacterial small subunit ribosomal RNA", at positions 338 to 944 of the family's 1533-position model. The record is from RNAcentral.
CCUACGGGAGGCAGCAGUAGGGAAUCUUCCGCAAUGGACGAAAGUCUGACGGAGCAACGCCGCGUGAACGAUGAAGGCCUUCGGGUCGUAAAGUUCUGUUGUUAGGGAAGAACAAGUGCUAGUUAAAUAAGCUGGCACCUUGACGGUACCUAACCAGAAAGCCACGGCUAACUACGUGCCAGCAGCCGCGGUAAUACGUAGGUGGCAAGCGUUGUCCGGAAUUAUUGGGCGUAAAGCGCGCGCAGGCGGUUUCUUAAGUCUUAUGUGAAAGCCCCCGGCUCAACCGGGGAGGGUCAUUGGAAACUGGGAAACUUGAGUGCAGAAGAGGAAAGUGGAAUUCCAAGUGUAGCGGUGAAAUGCGUAGAGAUUUGGAGGAACACCAGUGGCGAAGGCGACUUUCUGGUCUGUAACUGACGCUGAGGCGCGAAAGCGUGGGGAGCAAACAGGAUUAGAUACCCUGGUAGUCCACGCUGUAAACGAUGAGUGCUAAAGUGUUAGAGGGUUUCCGCCCUUUAGUGCUGAAGUUAACGCAUUAAGCACUCCGCCUGGGGAGUACGGUCGCAAGACUGAAACUCAAAGGAAUUGACGGCUGAGAGNGCGACGACGACACAGGAGGAGG